Molecule: ribosomal RNA, 406 nt
Filed under: uncultured bacterium
Lineage: Bacteria
Description: partial 16S ribosomal RNA
Rfam family: Bacterial small subunit ribosomal RNA
Source: RNAcentral
AUUGAACGCUGGCGGCAGGCCUAACACAUGCAAGUCGAGCGAGUGGCGGACGGGUGAGUAAUGUAUGGGGAUCUGCCCGAUAGAUGGGGAUAACUACUGGAACCGGUGGCUAAUACCGCAUCCUCUCGGAUGUACCCAUAUGGGAUUAGCUAGUAGGUGGGGUAAAGGCUAACCUAGGCGACGAUCUCUAGCUGGUCUGAGAGGAUGAUGAGCCACACGGGGACUGAGAAACGGCACAGACUCCUACGGGAGGCAGCAGUGGGGAAUAGUGCACAAUGGGCGCAAGCCUGAUGCAGCCAUGCCGCGUGUAUGAAGAAGGCCUUCGGGUUGUAAAGUACUUUCAGCGGGGAGGCGUUACCCGCAGAAGAAGCACCGGCUAACUCCGUGCCAGCCGCCGCGGUAAUAC